RNAcentral lists this ribosomal RNA (744 nucleotides) under uncultured marine bacterium. RNAcentral's name for it is "bacterial SSU rRNA". It matches the Rfam family "Bacterial small subunit ribosomal RNA", at positions 14 to 794 of the family's 1533-position model. The record is from RNAcentral.
UGAUCCUGGCUCAGAACGAACGCUGGCGGCGUGCUUAACACAUGCAAGUCGAACGAGAAAUUACCUUCGGGUAAUGGACAGUGGCAGACGGGUGAGUAACGCGUGGCAACCUACCUUUCAGUAAGGGACAACAGUUGGAAACGACUGCUAAUACCUUAUACGUCCUCCGGGAGAAAGAUUUAUCGCUGAUAGAUGGGGCCGCGUUAGAUUAGCUUGUUGGUGAGGUAAUGGCUCACCAAGGCGACGAUCUAUAGCGGGUCUGAGAGGAUGAUCCGCCACACUGGGACUGAGACACGGCCCAGACUCCUACGGGAGGCAGCAGUGGGGAAUAUUGGACAAUGGGGGCAACCCUGAUCCAGCAACGCCGCGUGAAUGAUGAAGGCCUUAGGGUUGUAAAAUUCUUUCGCUAGGGAAGAUAAUGACUGUACCUAGCAAAGAAGCCCCGGCUAACUCCGUGCCAGCAGCCGCGGUAAUACGGAGGGGGCUAGCGUUGUUCGGAAUUACUGGGCGUAAAGCGUGCGUAGGCGGAUUAAUAAGUUAGAUGUGAAAUCCCAGGGCUCAACCCUGGAACUGCAUUUAAAACUGUUAGUCUUGAGUUCUGGAGAGGUAAGUGGAAUUCCUAGUGUAGAGGUGAAAUUCGUAGAUAUUAGGAGGAACACCAGAGGCGAAGGCGGCUUACUGGACAGAUACUGACGCUGAGGCACGAAAGUGUGGGGAGCAAACAGGAUUAGAUACCCUGGUAGU